Long non-coding RNA from Tribolium castaneum (red flour beetle), 1571 nucleotides. RefSeq lists it as uncharacterized. The record is from RefSeq and is a predicted model, not a curated record. The transcript is spliced from 3 exons. Lineage: Eukaryota; Metazoa; Arthropoda; Insecta; Coleoptera; Tenebrionidae.
UCUAUUCCUGCUGAGCAUUAGUCAAUGCUUAACUCUUCAGCAGAAACUUAUAAUAAUAAAUCAAAGAUUAUACUCAACUCUUCCUACAAGAGAUUAGGAUGUAGAGGUCAUACAUUAUCGACUCGCAGGUCGUCAAAUUUGUCACAGGCAAUGCCACCGGUCUAUUGCCAUCCAUCAUGCUUUUAACUUUCUUAUAUGUAUCUGUGAGCUUUUAACGAUAAUUCAUCAAUAUUUUUGCAAACAGUAAACUUCCUAUUGGUGUAACGGAUGUGCAUAUGAUUUUUCUAUUGGAAGUUAUUGUAAACGUAAACGGAAGACCUUCCCAAUGUCAGGUUAUGUGCAUUGCCUUGUAGAAUACGUAAUUUAUGGGAAUUAACUGUUUAUGAUUUAUUGGUUAGAGUCGCUGGUGUGUACUUCAGGAAUAUGGAGAAGAUAAUUUUUAAACAAUUGUCGUUUCCUCAGUAAUUUUAUCUUAAGGAUCAGAAAUAAAACGAUAGAGAUUCCAAGUGAUAAGGAUCAAGCGAUUAGAAUAAUCAAAUAAAUCCCAAAGUAGCGUCCCAUUAAUAAUAAAAGGCUUAGGAAUUAAGGGAAUUGGCGUUAAAUUGAUGAAGUACACUAAGAGCAACAUUUCCUCCGUUGUAAAAUGGCUAGAUGCUUGUAAUGAGCCGCUGCACCAAUCUUUCGUGGAGAAAUUAUAAAUUUAAGUAGGUAGCUUUUAGCAAACCCGCUUCAUUUCUCACCUGGUGCCUUUUACGGCGGCACUUUUUGCGGAUGAAAAUUUGACGAAUUGCUCUCUUAUCGGAUAUCUUCCAAAUACAACAACGCCGGAAUGGUUCUCCGGUUAGCAAUAAAUUUUGAUUGCAUUACAAAUCAUCAUUUGCAUAGAUGAGGUGCGGGCACGUACAGAUCGGUUUGAUUUAUGGCCAGGAAUUUUUGCAGGAGUCGCAGUGCUUGAAUUUAAAUAAAUAAUUGCAUUUACAUAUUUAGUGUUUAGGCAUUACUUCCGCAAUUUGGUGAUUUUACUAAUAAACUUAGGUUUGGCUCGGAUGCCUUUAUGGCGUAUUUAUGGUUUUAAUCUAAAUGUAUAGUUGGUCUUGGCAUGAGGAAGCACUGACGGUCCACCCUGUAAAUUUUAUGAGAUUUGCAAAAUAUUUGCCAGAUUUGAGAUAAAGGUUUAAUAGGCGCCAUGAUUCUGCUUUUAUGUCUGGGAAACCAACAAGAUAUUAAAAUAAUAUUCUACCCUACAACUUUAAUUAAAACAGUAAAAAGUUUAUAUCAAGACCAAGUGCAUCUUCGAUCUGAUAAACACGUCGGGUAAACGCUGAAAUAUCAAUAAAAUGGACAAUUCUAUGUCUCUUUUAUUCUUGGAGGUAUUUAUAGAUGCGAGUGGAAAAAUAAAAUUGUUAAAGAACUACCAAAUGAAGCGGCUUUUUUCAAUUAGAGAAAUGUGUCAUUCCAUUUACGGUUUAUGGCUCAUUAAACAGAGAAAAUUAUUUAGUGCUGAAAAAGCAGGUUUUCAAAUAAUAAUAAUAAUAUGUAAUCACUCUUUGGUUUGAAAUUUUUCACAUCUG